GACCCUCCUCUGAUCUUCCUUCCCUCGCUCUGUCUCUCUCUCUCCCUCUAUCAUUCUUUAACACCUGGAUCUCUAGCUCUUACGAUUUGCAAAAAUGCCUCUCAGACUUGAAAUAAAGAGGAAACUUGCUCAAAGAUCAGAAAGAGUAAAAUCUGUGGAUCUACAUCCAACUGAACCAUGGAUUCUAGUGAGUUUGUAUUCAGGGACUGUUUGUAUUUGGAACUACCAGUCACAGACCAUGGCAAAAUCUUUUGAGGUCACUGAGUUACCAGUUAGGUCAGCAAAGUUUAUUGCACGAAAGCAAUGGGUUGUUGCUGGAGCUGAUGACAUGUUUAUUCGCGUAUACAACUACAAUACAAUGGAUAAGAUUAAAGUGUUUGAGGCGCAUACAGAUUACAUCAGAUGUGUGGCUGUCCAUCCUACCCUUCC
RNAcentral lists this unclassified non-coding RNA (429 nucleotides) under Hevea brasiliensis (rubber tree). The record is from RNAcentral. Lineage: Eukaryota; Viridiplantae; Streptophyta; Magnoliopsida; Malpighiales; Euphorbiaceae.